Molecule: transfer RNA, 83 nt
Filed under: compost metagenome
Description: tRNA-Thr
Source: RNAcentral
UGCCACCGCCAGCGGGACGACCGCGCUGCCGCUCGUGCCGGUAGUGAAGGAGGCAUAGGCCAGAUCGUUGCCGGUGGCGACAU